AUUGAACGCUGGCGGUAGGCCUAACACAUGCAAGUCGAGCGAGCGGCGGACGGGUGAGUAAUGUCUGGGAAACCGCCUGAUGGAGGGGGAUAACCACUGGAAACGGUAGCUAAUACCGCAUACCAUCAGACGUGCCCAGAUGGUACUAGCUAGUAGGUGGGGUAAUGGCUCACCUAGGCGACGAUCCAGAGCUGGUCUGAGAGGAUGAACAGCCACACUGGAACGGAGACACGGUCCAUACUCCUACGGUAGGCAGCAGUGGGGAAUAUUGCACAAUGGGCGCAAGCCUGAUGCAGCCAUGCCGCGUGUAUGAAGAAGGUCUUCGGGUUGUAAAGCACUUUCAGCGAGGAGGCGUUACUCGCAGAAGAAGCACCGGCUAACUCCGUGCCAGCAGCCGCGGUAAUUC
Molecule: ribosomal RNA, 406 nt
Filed under: uncultured bacterium
Lineage: Bacteria
Description: partial 16S ribosomal RNA
Rfam family: Bacterial small subunit ribosomal RNA
Source: RNAcentral